RNAcentral lists this ribosomal RNA (912 nucleotides) under human gut metagenome. Its description in RNAcentral is "bacterial SSU rRNA". It matches the Rfam family "Bacterial small subunit ribosomal RNA", at positions 8 to 924 of the family's 1533-position model. The record is from RNAcentral.
AGGGUUCGAUUCUGGCUCAGGAUGAACGCUGGCGGCGUGCUUAACACAUGCAAGUCGAACGGGAUCCAUCGGGCUUUGCUUGGUGGUGAGAGUGGCGAACGGGUGAGUAAUGCGUGACCGACCUGCCCCAUGCACCGGAAUAGCUCCUGGAAACGGGUGGUAAUGCCGGAUGCUCCAGUUGAUCGCAUGGUCUUCUGGGAAAGCCUUUGCGGCAUGGGAUGGGGUCGCGUCCUAUCAGCUUGAUGGCGGGGUAACGGCCCACCAUGGCUUCGACGGGUAGCCGGCCUGAGAGGGCGACCGGCCACAUUGGGACUGAGAUACGGCCCAGACUCCUACGGGAGGCAGCAGUGGGGAAUAUUGCACAAUGGGCGCAAGCCUGAUGCAGCGACGCCGCGUGAGGGAUGGAGGCCUUCGGGUUGUAAACCUCUUUUGUUAGGGAGCAAGGCAUUUUGUGUUGAGUGUACCUUUCGAAUAAGCACCGGCUAACUACGUGCCAGCAGCCGCGGUAAUACGUAGGGUGCAAGCGUUAUCCGGAAUUAUUGGGCGUAAAGGGCUCGUAGGCGGUUCGUCGCGUCCGGUGUGAAAGUCCAUCGCUUAACGGUGGAUCCGCGCCGGGUACGGGCGGGCUUGAGUGCGGUAGGGGAGACUGGAAUUCCCGGUGUAACGGUGGAAUGUGUAGAUAUCGGGAAGAACACCAAUGGCGAAGGCAGGUCUCUGGGCCGUUACUGACGCUGAGGAGCGAAAGCGUGGGGAGCGAACAGGAUUAGAUACCCUGGUAGUCCACGCCGUANACGGUGGAUGCUGGAUGUGGGGCCCGUUCCACGGGUUCCGUGUCGGAGCUAACGCGUUAAGCAUCCCGCCUGGGGAGUACGGCCGCAAGGCUAAAACUCAAAGAAAUUGACGGGGGCCCGC